Molecule: transfer RNA, 71 nt
Filed under: Loxodonta africana (African savanna elephant)
Lineage: Eukaryota; Metazoa; Chordata; Mammalia; Proboscidea; Elephantidae
Rfam family: tRNA
About the family: Transfer RNA (tRNA) molecules are approximately 80 nucleotides in length. Their secondary structure includes four short double-helical elements and three loops (D, anti-codon, and T loops).
Source: Rfam by way of RNAcentral
GCAGUGGUAGUUCAGUGGUAGAAUUCUCACUUUCCAUGUGGGAGACCCGGGUUUGAGUCCCAGCCAAUGCA